UGGGAAAUUUGGAAAAGCUUGCUCUUUGCCGACGAGCGGCGGACGGGUGCGUAACACGUAGGAAUCUGCCUGGUAGUGGGGGAUUGCCCGGAGAAAUCCGGAUUAAUACCGCAUACGCCCUACGGGGGAAAGCAGGGGAUCUUCGGACCUUGCGCUAUCAGAUGAGCCUGCGUCGGAUUAGCUGGUUGGUGGGGUAAAGGCCUACCAAGGCGACGAUCCGUAGCUGGUCUGAGAGGAUGAUCAGCCACACUGGGACUGAGACACGGCCCAGACUCCUACGGGAGGCAGCAGUGGGGAAUAUUGCACAAUGGGCGAAAGCCUGAUGCAGCCAUGCCGCGUGUGUGAAGAAGGCCCUAGGGUUGUAAAGCACUUUCAGUGGGGAGGAAAGGUUGAAGGUUAAUACCCUUCAGCUGUGACGUUACCCACAGAAGAAGCACCGGCUAACUCCGUGCCAGCAGCCGCGGUAAUACGGAGGGUGCGAGCGUUAAUCGGAAUUACUGGGCGUAAAGCGUGCGUAGGCGGCUACCUAAGUUGGAUGUGAAAGCCCCGGGCUCAACCUGGGAACUGCGUCCAAAACUGGGUGGCUAGAGUACGGGAGAGGAGUGUGGAAUUUCCCUGUGUAGCGGUGAAAUGCGUAGAUAUAGGGAAGG
This 650-nucleotide ribosomal RNA is filed under the name uncultured bacterium. RNAcentral describes it as "bacterial SSU rRNA". It matches the Rfam family "Bacterial small subunit ribosomal RNA", at positions 67 to 705 of the family's 1533-position model. The record is from RNAcentral.